This 252-nucleotide ribosomal RNA is filed under the name uncultured bacterium. RNAcentral's name for it is "partial 16S ribosomal RNA". It matches the Rfam family "Bacterial small subunit ribosomal RNA", at positions 524 to 776 of the family's 1533-position model. The record is from RNAcentral.
UACGUAGGUCCCGAGCGUUGUCCGGAUUUAUUGGGCGUAAAGCGAGCGCAGGUGGUUUAUUAAGUCUGGUGUAAAAGGCAGUGACUCAACCAUUGUAUGCAUUGGAAACCGGUAGACUUGAGUGCAGGAGAGGAGAGUGGAAUUCCAUGUGUAGCGGUGAAAUGCGUAGAUAUAUGGAGGAACACCGGUGGCGAAAGCGGCUCUCUGGCCUGUAACUGACACUGAGGCUCGAAAGCGUGGGGAGCAAACAGG